RNAcentral lists this ribosomal RNA (702 nucleotides) under uncultured bacterium. RNAcentral's name for it is "bacterial SSU rRNA". It matches the Rfam family "Bacterial small subunit ribosomal RNA", at positions 776 to 1483 of the family's 1533-position model. The record is from RNAcentral.
GAUUAGAUACCCUGGUAGUCCACGCCCUAAACGAUGUCAACUGGUUGUUGGGAGGGUUUCUUCUCAGUAACGUAGCUAACGCGUGAAGUUGACCGCCUGGGGAGUACGGCCGCAAGGUUGAAACUCAAAGGAAUUGACGGGGACCCGCACAAGCGGUGGAUGAUGUGGUUUAAUUCGAUGCAACGCGAAAAACCUUACCUACCCUUGACAUGCCAGGAAUCUUGCAGAGAUGUGAGAGUGCUCGAAAGAGAACCUGGACACAGGUGCUGCAUGGCCGUCGUCAGCUCGUGUCGUGAGAUGUUGGGUUAAGUCCCGCAACGAGCGCAACCCUUGUCAUUAGUUGCUACGAAAGGGCACUCUAAUGAGACUGCCGGUGACAAACCGGAGGAAGGUGGGGAUGACGUCAGGUCAUCAUGGCCCUUAUGGGUAGGGCUACACACGUCAUACAAUGGCCGGGACAGAGGGCUGCCAACCCGCGAGGGGGAGCUAAUCCCAGAAACCCGGUCGUAGUCCGGAUCGCAGUCUGCAACUCGACUGCGUGAAGUCGGAAUCGCUAGUAAUCGCGGAUCAGCUUGCCGCGGUGAAUACGUUCCCGGGUCUUGUACACACCGCCCGUCACACCAUGGGAGCGGGUUCUGCCAGAAGUAGUUAGCCUAACCGCAAGGAGGGCGAUUACCACGGUAGGGUUCGUGACUGGGGUGA